CUGCAGCCCUUCUCUUGCCCCGCACACAGGUAGGAGAGCCUGGUACCAGCAGCAGUCUGUCUCUAUGGGACAACCUCUACAAGGAUGCCAUUUUAUUAAGCAGCAGCAAGCCUGGCAGUGGCACGAACUCCCGCUCGGCGCCUCUGGGAGGAGCGGCGUCGGCCACGUGAAGCUCUUCCAAUCGGUCCCACUUACGCGACGGUACUUCUGUGUGAAGACGCGGCCAACCUCUUCCCCGUGACGCAACCGAGGCGAGACUCGGAGGGCUGCGAUCACAAUAUUUAACACACCCACCGUGGAUGAACCCUCGGAAGAGAAGACGAGGCGGCGUGAACGGGGGAAGAGGCGUAAGUGGAG
Long non-coding RNA from Gasterosteus aculeatus aculeatus (three-spined stickleback), 357 nucleotides. The record is from Ensembl. Lineage: Eukaryota; Metazoa; Chordata; Actinopteri; Perciformes; Gasterosteidae.